GCAGGUUUUCUCAAAAGGAGUCUUGAGCACACCAAGGCUACGGAGAAUACGACUGACAGAAGAAGUAAAUGACAAAGGGCGCUGGAAUGGCAAUCUUAAUACUACCAUAGAUCAAUUGUUUGCAGAAAUGGUAUCGUUUUUGGUUAAUCAAAUUUCCACUUCUUCCACAAUUUAUAAUAGCUAUAUGCAUCUUAAAAGUUUGAGUAGAAUUAAUAAUACUAUGAAAUCAUAGUUCUAUUCUGAAGUAUUCUCUUCUUGAUCAUGACUUCCUUUUCGCUGCAUUUUUUCCAUGAUUUAUAGAAUACCAAAGAACAUUGAACCCCAUACCAUAUGUGCUCAAGCUGAAAUAAGGCCAAUCCUCUUGGUUGCUGCCAGGCACUGGAUCAUGUAUUCCGUUAGUGGGAGGUAGAUGGAGGGGCUUUCUUAUUCUGUUCUUUUAUGCAAGGUGUUGUUUUCUUUUGAGAUUUUAAAUGGUGGGAGGACCGUUUUGCCCCCAUAUGUAUGAAUUACACUAUUUAAUUAUAUAUUGUGUCAGUGUUCUGCCUUUGUGCAAAGAGUAUGUCUAUAAAUAUUGGAUUUCUAAUGUGUUUGCACAUUGUAAAUUAAAAUGAUUUUGCAAUAAUUUCUUGUACCAAUCUUGGACUUGUAUUCAUUUGAACAAUUUAGCAGUAAAAUUAUCUGAAUAAUUGUAGUCCCUGGCUAACAUUUGUUGUGACAUUUAGGAAUUGCUUCAUAAGAAUGGUGAAUGUGAGGUUGCUUUUAGUUGCUUGAAAUAUUUGAUACUUCAUUGUGCCCAAGGUGCUUACCUUCUCUCAAGGUCGUUACCUCAUUCACUCACCUAUGGGAUCUGGCCAGAGCAGGGCUUCAACAGUGUUACUCCGGCGAAAAUCAGAAAUAGGGUGCUCUAUUUUCCUUGAUUUACAUACUUCUAUUUUUGCUCUUAUAUAACGACGUUUUGGUUUUUCAAGUUUUGCAUAGAUCAUGAAAUUUUUAGUUUUUUUUCUUGAAGGAUUUUGAUCAAGCAGAGAAGGU
Molecule: unclassified non-coding RNA, 1032 nt
Filed under: Hevea brasiliensis (rubber tree)
Lineage: Eukaryota; Viridiplantae; Streptophyta; Magnoliopsida; Malpighiales; Euphorbiaceae
Source: RNAcentral